RNAcentral lists this small RNA (132 nucleotides) under Escherichia coli. RNAcentral's name for it is "RtT sRNA". It matches the Rfam family "RtT RNA". Rfam says of the family: This family represents a bacterial cis-regulatory element known as RtT RNA. The record is from RNAcentral. Lineage: Bacteria; Pseudomonadati; Pseudomonadota; Gammaproteobacteria; Enterobacterales; Enterobacteriaceae.
AUUCUGCCCAUGCGGGGAAGGAUGAGAAGCUUCGACNAAGGUUCGGCUCGAGCGUCAGCGAGAGAGCGUUGCCGCAGGCAACGACCCGAAGGGCGAAGCGCGCAGCGCUGAGUAAUCCUUCCCCCACCACCA